RNAcentral lists this ribosomal RNA (468 nucleotides) under uncultured bacterium. RNAcentral's name for it is "partial 16S ribosomal RNA". It matches the Rfam family "Bacterial small subunit ribosomal RNA", at positions 28 to 507 of the family's 1533-position model. The record is from RNAcentral.
GACGAACGCUGGCGGCGUGCUUAACACAUGCAAGUCGAACGGAAAGGCCCUGCUUUUGUGGGGUGCUCGAGUGGCGAACGGGUGAGUAACACGUGAGUAACCUGCCCUUGACUUUGGGAUAACUUCAGGAAACUGGGGCUAAUACAGGAUAGGAUCUCCUGCUGCAUGGUGGUGGUUGGAAAGUUUCGGCUGUUGUGGAUGGACUGGCGGCUUAUCAGCUUGUUGGUGGGGUAGUGGCUUUCCAAGGCUUUGACGGGUAGCCGGCCUGAGAGGGUGAACGGCCACAUUGGGACUGCGAUACGGCCCAGACUCCUACGGGAGGCAGCAGUGGGGAAUAUUGCACAAUGGGCGGAAGCCUGAUGCAGAAACGCCGCGUGCGGAAUGACGGCCUUCGGGUUGUAAACCGCUUUCGCCUGUGACGAAGCGUGAGUGACGGUAAUGGGUAAAGAAGCACCGGCUAACUACGUG